CAGUAGCCGCGGGAAUACAGAGGAUGCAAGCGUUAUCCGGAAUGAUUGGGCGUAAAGCGUCUGUAGGUGGCUUUUCAAGUCCGCCGUCAAAUCCCAGGGCUCAACCCUGACAGGCGGUGGAAACUACCAAGCUAGAGUACGGUAGGGGCAGAGGGAAUUUCCGGUGGAGCGGUGAAAUGCGUUGAGAUCGAAAAGAACACCAACGACGAAAGCACUCUGCUGGGUCGACACAGACACUGAGAGACGAAAGCUCGGGGAGCAAAUGGGAUUAGAUACCCCCGUAGUCCCUGUCUCUUAUACA
RNAcentral lists this ribosomal RNA (301 nucleotides) under uncultured bacterium. RNAcentral describes it as "partial 16S ribosomal RNA". It matches the Rfam family "Bacterial small subunit ribosomal RNA", at positions 509 to 808 of the family's 1533-position model. The record is from RNAcentral.